This 495-nucleotide ribosomal RNA is filed under the name uncultured bacterium. RNAcentral's name for it is "partial 16S ribosomal RNA". It matches the Rfam family "Bacterial small subunit ribosomal RNA", at positions 28 to 523 of the family's 1533-position model. The record is from RNAcentral.
GAUGAACGCUGGCGGCGUGCUUAACACAUGCAAGUCGAACGAAGCACUUGAAACGGAUUCUUCGGAUGAAGUUUCCUGUGACUGUGUGGCAGACGGGUGAGUAAUGCGUGGGUAACCUGCCUCAUACAGGGGGAUAACAGUUAGAAAUGGCUGCGAAUACCGCAUAAGCGCACAGUAUCGCAUGAUGCAAUGUGAAAAACUCCGGUGGUAUGAGAUGGACCCGCGUUGGAUUAGCUAGUUGGCAGGGUAACGGCCUACCAAGGCGACGAUCCAUAGCCGGCCUGGGGGGGUGGACGGCCACAUUGGGACUGAGACACGGCCCAGACUCCUACGGGAGGCAGCAGUGGGGAAUAUUGCACAAUGGGGGAAACCCUGAUGCAGCGACGCCGCGUGAGCGAAGAAGUAUUUCGGUAUGUAAAGCUCUAUCAGCAGGGAAGAAAAUGACGGUACCUGACUAAGAAGCCCCGGCUAACUACGUGCCAGCCGCCGCCGUAA